Molecule: small RNA, 37 nt
Filed under: Arabidopsis thaliana (thale cress)
Lineage: Eukaryota; Viridiplantae; Streptophyta; Magnoliopsida; Brassicales; Brassicaceae
Description: ATSL126230
Source: RNAcentral
UUUGUUUAUUCUUUUUCUUUUUUUUUGUCUUUUCUUG